RNAcentral lists this ribosomal RNA (509 nucleotides) under uncultured bacterium. RNAcentral's name for it is "partial 16S ribosomal RNA". It matches the Rfam family "Bacterial small subunit ribosomal RNA", at positions 28 to 507 of the family's 1533-position model. The record is from RNAcentral.
GACGAACGCUGGCGGCGUGCUUAACACAUGCAAGUCGAACGAAGAGCGAUGGAAGCUUGCUUCUAUCAAUCUUAGUGGCGAACGGGUGAGUAACGCGUAAUCAACCUGCCCUUCAGAGGGGGACAACAGUUGGAAACGACUGCUAAUACCGCAUACGAUCUGACCUCGGCAUCGAGGAUAGAUGAAAGGUGGCCUCUACAUGUAAGCUAUCACUGAAGGAGGGGAUUGCGUCUGAUAGCUAGUUGGAGGGGUAACGGCCCACCAAGGCGAUGAUCAGUAGCCGGUCUGAGAGGAUGAACGGCCACAUUGGGACUGAGACACGGCCCAGACUCCUACGGGAGGCAGCAGUGGGGAAUCUUCCGCAAUGGACGAAAGUCUGACGGAGCAACGCCGCGUGAGUGAUGACGGCCUUCGGGUUGUAAAGCUCUGUUAAUCGGGACGAAAGGCCUUUUUGCGAAUAGUGAGAAGGAUUGACGGUACCGGAAUAGAAAGCCACGGCUAACUACGUG